This is a non-coding RNA of Pelobates cultripes (western spadefoot toad), 226 nucleotides long. The record is from the annotation of a GenBank genome assembly. NCBI's taxonomy places the organism in Eukaryota, Metazoa, Chordata, Amphibia, Anura, Pelobatidae.
AUCAAGACAAGCUUUGGAGAGUCUAAAAAAUUAGAAGUGUAUAAAGUAUUUGCCUACAAAACAGUUUAAGUUCAGUUCUAUUUGACUAAAAUAAUGUUACAUAUAUGGUUUUAUAAAGGUGAAUUUUAUCAUCCCAACUAAACAAGUGUAUUAAAUAAAAUGACAAUUUUACCAUGGAUUUAGUGAAGAAUCUAUAUAUGCAAAACAGCUCAAUGUUAUGAAUGGU